GACGAACGCUGGCGGCGUGCUUAACACAUGCAAGUCGAACGGGCCUUGUCCCCUUUUUUUUUGGGGGUGGGGUUAGUGGCGAACGGGUGAGUAACACGUGAGUAACCUGCCCCUCACUUCUGGAUAACCGCUUGAAAGGGUGGCUAAUACGGGGUGUUCUGGCCUGCUCGCAUGGGUGGGUUUGGAAAGAUUCGACCGGUUUUGGUUGUUUUGGUGGGGGAUGGGCUCGCGGCCUAUCAGCGUGUUGGUGGGGUGAUGGCCUGCCAAGGCUUUGACGGGUAGCCGGCCUGAGAGGGUGGGCGGUCACACUGGGACUGAGACACGGCCCAGACUCCUACGGGAGGCAGCAGUGGGGAAUAUUGCACAAUGGGCGCAAGCCUGAUGCAGCGACGCCGCGUGAGGGAUGGAGGCCUUCGGGUUGUGAACCUCCUUCGCCAGUGAAGAAGGUCCUGCUCUUUGUGGUGGGGUUGACGGUAGCUGGGUUAAUGAAGCGCCGGCUAACUACGUG
This 508-nucleotide ribosomal RNA is filed under the name uncultured bacterium. RNAcentral describes it as "partial 16S ribosomal RNA". It matches the Rfam family "Bacterial small subunit ribosomal RNA", at positions 28 to 507 of the family's 1533-position model. The record is from RNAcentral.